UAUUUGUUAGAGAUGAACUGCAAGUCAUGGUGGCCACCAUUGCCUUUGGCAUGGGCAUAGAUAAACCUAACAUUAGACAAGUGAUUCACUAUGGUUGCCCUAAAAGUCUAGAAUCCUACUGCCAGGAAAGUGGACGAUGCGGUAGAGAUGGUAUAGCUUCUGUUUGUUGGCUUUAUUACACAAGAAGUGACUUUGCAAAGGGCGACUUUUACUGUGGAGAUGUAAAAUCAGUAUGUGUAUUUAUAUUUAUCUGAAAAAAUUUGGCCAAGGAUUUAUUUGUAGUUGAAUGAAUAUUGAAGCUGCUUACUUCUUGCAUAUUGUCCCGAUAUAAGUUAUCCCCAUUCUCCUACCUAAUAUUUAACUCUCCAAUGUACCAGGAAAAACAAAGAAAAGCUGUUAUGGAGUCAUUGCUUGCAGCUGAACGCUAUUGUGUGCUGACAACUUGCAGAAGAAAGUUCUUGCUUGAAUACUUUGGGGAAAAAAUUUCAGCUGAUAGAUGCGGUUUGCCUUUUACAUUGAUGCUUCAUUAUUGUCCUUGUAGAGCUAGAGCUUAAACCUAAUAGCAUUGUUACUUCAUUGACCUUAUACAAUUACGGGAAUCGAGCAUAGUGUGAUUAGUCCAAAUACCCCUGUAAAGGUGGAUCAUGUGUGUCAUAUGCUCCCAAGCUUGCUAAAUAAGAUUAAAUCUAGGUUCUCUAAGGGACUUACAAAAUGAAACAGCUAACUGGACAGGUUGACAAAAUCAAUAACAAUCUUUAUCAUGCCUGAAAUUAACCUUUUCUUAUUUAGUUUACUCCAAUUUCUAUUUCUUUUAAACGUGCUUUAUAGGGAACUGUGAUAAUUGCAAAGUCUCAAAGAAGGAGCGAGACAUGUCAAGGGAAGCAUUUCUUCUAAUGGCUUGCAUUCAUUCAUGCAACGGCAGAUGGGGCCUUAAUAUGCCUAUUGAUGUCCUGCGCGGGUCUCGAGUAAGAUGUUCAAAAUUAAAGCUAGGAACUGUUUUCAUUUCAGUUUUAAAGAAUUCAUUCCCUUUUUUAGUUCUUGUUUGGUAGCAUUAAUUUCUUAUUCCUUUAUUUAAUCAUGUACAUGUACUCCCUUUUUUUUCAACUGUCAUUGUUAUCCUUGUGUUUUGACUAACUAUUUUUUUCUUUGGUUGUUUAUCAUAAUAUCUAUAGGUUGUUUACCUUUUUCAGAUAACUGUGCCUUAUUUUGUUUAGUCCUUUUCAAGUAUAAGUGUAUCUAACUAUCUAUCUACUACUAUCUAUUAGGUAUUUCAGGGAAAUAAUUGAACUUCUACUAAUAGAUCAAAGUUGGUGUAAAUUUUAAUAAUGAAGCUGUAAAUGUAAUUUUGAAGCCUUUUUGUUUAAUAAAAUUGAAAGAAUGCUAUUGGAUUGCUAUACUGUAGGUUAGCACUACGACCUGUACAAAAGACUUAUACUGCAUUCUUGAUAAAAAGAAAAGAAAAAAAAUAAAAAAGUGGGGGGACCAGUUAUGAAACCUUAAUUGAGAACUUGACAGCAGACAAUUUGGAAAUUUUGUGUGAUGAUAGAUCUAAGGAUGGGAAGUUUUCUUCUACAGAAUGUUGAAAAGAGUACUCAAGUAACGAUUCUGUCACAAUGAUUAAAAACCAUAAACUUUACAGUUGCACAAAGAAGAAAAGAAAGAGAAAGCACCAAUUUAUCUUCCAUCCACAUAUGGAAAUUUAUUACACUAAAUUUAGAUAUUUUAAACUAACAACUCACAUUACUUCAUUUAUAUGAUCCUAAAAUUGUUCAAAAGGAACACUCCGGUUAUUCAACUGCACAAAAAGCUCCCUUAGUUCAUGAUGACAAGGUGGUUUUUAACAAACCUAUAAAUCCUGUUUCCUCUUAUUCAUAAUGACAAAUAUUGAAGCCUUAGUGCAUAAGGAGUCUGCUGUUACAUGGUAGACAAGCAUACUCAAAUCCUCGAGUACCCACAAAAUGAUUUUGAACCUAUAAAUCCUGUUUCCUCUUUUUCAUAACGACAAACAUUGAAGCCUUAGUGCAUAAGGAGUCUGAUGUUACAUGGUAGACAAGCAUACUCAAAUCCUCGAGUACCCACAAAAUGAUUUUGAAUCUAGCAACUUGGUUCCUUCUUUUUGCUGUCUGUAGAUACUGCACUCUGCUUGAAGAAUACCCUCUACUUGGUAUACUCUAAAAGCAUAAGUAUCAUUGGUUUUCAUUCAUCCUUAGCUUUACUGUUGCCUUUAAAUUUAUUUAAUCGUUCAAACUGUUGAUAUUGUAUUAGCUUGUAACUUGUAGGCCAAGAAAAUUCUUGAGGUUCAAUUUGAUAAGCUUCCACUUCAUGGGCUGGGGAAAAAUUAUCCAGCAAAUUGGUGGAAAUCACUUGGGCAUCAAUUGAUUUCUCAAGGUAUUGAGUGGAAAUAAUUUACCUAGUUACAAUCAUUAGUUGUGUUCAAACAGUUCUGUUGAUUGACAUUCUCAGUUCAGGGUAGUUUGAAUUAUGUAGAGCAAAGCAUUUUCUGUCGCACUGUUUAAGUUGACUGCCUGUCAUUUUGGGUAAUUUCAAUCAUUGAAGGCAGUUUUAACAUUAAAAACUACUUGGUUUAUAAACGAUUUCAUUGAUUUUGAAAAUGAAAUCACAUUUUCCGGCUUUUGUUGCCUUGUUUGCUGUCCCUUGUAUUCAUUUUCUAAGUCUUGGGUAUGAUUGGAUUGCAAGCGCUAGGUUAGAUUUUAAGAGACCAUGGAUGAAAGUUUGCCUUUUUCUUUUUGAUUAUCUAAGUGAAUAUGUUACAUAGAAGAAUGACAAGUGACCCCUUUAUUUUUCAUUUUUUCUACUUCCAUUUUUGUUCAAUGCACAGAGGGUGUGGGUUUGUUUCUUGCUUCAACUGGAGCUUUUUGAGCUAGUAGCAGUAUUCACUAUACGUCCAUCAAAGAAAAAAAUACAUUUGAAAAUAAUAGCAUUCUUUUUUCUGUUUUCAAACAUAAUUAAUUGUUCAUACAUUUCAUGCUAUUUAUUUGGUACUGGUAAGUCUAUUUCUUGCUUAAGUAUAUUUUACAUAUUCACAAUCUACAUGUAAAAAUGACAAUCCUUUAUAUUACAAAGUAAAUUCUAUUGGAAGAAAUUUCUAGAUGCGAUUUAUAAUAAACUCCUAUUAUUCUACAGGUUAUCUGAAGGAGACUGUUAGUGACGUAUACAGAACUAUAAGGUAGAUUCUUCAAUUUAUUUGGUAGAUUGCAGAAGUUAUUUGAAGUCCUUUUAUGCUACAAGUCUGUUACCUAAAUGUAGGAUGAAAAAGAUAAUUAUUGCAUGGAUACCUUUGUGAAAAAUAAUGAUUCCUCAAGGAGGAAAAGUUUGUAGAUAAUUAUCACCGGGAUUUCGGGAGUCCAGCCCUCUUGCACUUUCUAACAUUACAAAAACUGUUCUAUCCGCUUCCAACCCCCUUUUUCCCACCCCCUAACUACUAGUAAUUAUAUGUUUCCCUUAUCCACCUCAUCACCCAGACUGUUAAUAGAGCCGGACUUCUCUAAUUGGGCAUCAUACUUUUGUUAUAAUUUUUUAUCAUUGGGACCUAAAAAUGUAAAAGCACAUCAAUUAUGCAAUUUUUGAGUUUCUUAAUGUUUUAGCGUGUUUCACAACUGAAGCUAUAAUUAGACGCAACAUUUGUUCUUCAUGAACCAGUGUCAGUUCAAGAGGAGAGCAGUUUUUGGCCUCUUCAAGACCAGAUUAUCAACCUCCUUUAGUUUUGACAUUGACUGCUGAAAUGCUUGGAGAAGAAGAUAAUGGAAACACACAAGACGAAUUUAUAACUUUAUCCACUUCAGAAUUAGAUGGUUUUUCAGAGGUUGGUAAUUAAGUGGUUUUAUCUCUAUCCAACAUUUUUCUCUCUUUCCUUUUCUUCUAAUUAUCAGUGAAGCUUUUUGAGUGUGUGGUUGAUAAUUACAUGUAUAUGUAAGAUAAAUAAGCCAUUUAUUCAUAAAAGGUAAAAAUUUCUUAUAAUUUUUGUUUAUAAGUGAAAUUAUAUUAAUUCUAAAUCUUUGUGCUGUACUUCUCUACUCAGGCUGAGAGAAAGCUGCAUCAAAUGCUUUUGGAAGAAAGAUUAGAGCUUGCAAGAAGUGUUGGAACAGCUCCGUAUAGUUUUUGAUUUUUAACAGUUUGUGAAGGAUAUUAAUUCUUAGUUUCUUUUAUCCAUAGUUUCAUCACAAAACUGUUAUACCAUCUUUGUAGAUAUGCUAUCUGUGGAGAUCAAACGAUCAGGAAAAUUGCUUUGACAAGACCAUCUACAAAAGCAAGACUAGCAAACAUUAAUGGUGUGAAUCAGGUAUGCCUUCAAUGUUUUCAAGAUGUCUGGAAACUGGGUCAGACCUAAUGGUUCAAGAAGAGAAAGCAGGAAGUUGUCAAAAUUCAUCAAAAGGGCUUUAGUAAACAAAUUAUUUUAUUAAUUUCUUAAUUCAGCUUUAGUUAAUAUAAAAUUCUUGGCAGUAAUUAUGUCUAUGGAGAAAUCUCCCAAUUGUGAAGGUUUAUUGAAAUAAUAUGAAAUAGCUUGCUAGAUUUCCAAACAAGGGGAGAAAUUAUUGAUGCAGGCAGUGUGAACUAGUUAAUCCUCUAAAUGAGCAAUCCCUUGGCAGUAGUUUACCUUCCAAUGAUCAGUAAUGACAAAUCAGACCAUGCUGCUUUGUGAAAUUUGUUUGGCCUGUAAAAAUGUCUUAGAUAACUGAAGCCAUUUUUAUUUUUACCUUCUGUCUUUGUCAUUUUAAAUACUAACUUCAAACAACUUUUUCAGCACCUAGUGAUGAAAUAUGGAGAUCAUUUUCUUCAAGUUAUUCAGAAACUGUCACAAGGACUAAACCUAUCAUUGGACGGGGAAGAAAGGGUCUCAACGGCUAGUUUGCAAACUAAUGCAGUAAUGAAAGUGUCUCCAAUAACCAACAAAUCCAAGAAGUUGACUUCAGCGAAGUUUGAAGCAUGGAAAAUGUGGCAUGAAGAUGGUCUUUCUAUUCAUGAUAUUGCUGUAUGUCAUUCGUAUCUGCUGUUAUUAUUAAAGAUCUUUGCUUCACAAUUUCAUUGUAUAACUUCAUGACAUUGUUGUAUGUCAUAUUAGUCUGUUGUUACUAAGAUCCACGCCCACAUGUUUCAUUGGGUAACUACUUUCUCUACUGACUCCUCUCCGUAAUCUUAGAACUUAGAAGUUAGAUCGGCUCCUAUAAAAGAACAAACUGUUGUUGAAUAUCUACUGGAAGCUGCCCAAGAAGGAUUACCUUUUGAUUGGGUUAGAUUCAGCAAGAUGAUAGGACUCACUCAAGAGAUUAUGUCAGAAAUUCAGGGUGCUAUUUCAAAAGUUGGAUCUACAGACAAGCUGAAGCCUAUAAAAAAUGAAUUGCCAGAAGAUGUGGGUUUGGAUUUCCUACCUUCAUGAUUUGAGUACAUCAUGUUAUUUAUGCAAAUAAUAUGGUCCAAUAUAUUUCAUUCUACUGCUUUAUCUUGCAUGGUGACAGCUUCAUUAUUUUAGGUUUACUUGUUUUUAUUUCUUGAAAAUUAUUCGAACUUGUAGGAAAGAAUUGCUUAUUGCUUCGUUGAAUUUGAGAUUGAAUAAUUUUUUAUGGUGCAGAUAAGUUAUCAGCACAUCAAGACUUAUUUGUCAAUGCAAAACUGUGGUAUAUCCUUGGAAACAAAUCAGUAUGGAAGUAACCAAACCGGGAAAGAUGAUGAACUUGCACACAAUGCUUCAAAUUUGUCAGACUGUACUUUAGAAACAUGUCCUGACAGGCAAUGUGAAGAUGACACUUCUGUAAAAGCUUUGGCUGAAGAACGUGACUUAGAAAUGGAUGAGGUACCUUCUUUACCUGUCAACGGUUCCGAGGAAGAGAAGCUUUCAAAUGCCAGGGAAGGGAAAUUCACAAGAAAACGACAAAGGGUCAGUGAAACGAAGGAAGUAAACUCAACUAGACUGAAGGCUACAGUGACUUCUGUUAUAGAGUGGAUGAAGAACCUUGAUGAAGGGGUAAGUGGAGACUUGUUUAUGUUUCUGACGACUCCUCUCUCUAUAUAUAGAGAGACUCAGACACAUGUAUAUGAGCUUUGCUUUGUGAUUAUAAUUGUAGGAAAAUGUGUUGUUUAUUNGUUUCAGGCUACGUUGAGCAAUAUUUUGGAACACUUCAAUGGAUCCAGUGAAGAUUCUGUGGUUGAACUGCUCAAUUGCUUAGAGUGUGACUUUUUAAUAUAUAGGAAAGGGAACGUGUACAGGGUUUUGUAACAGUUUAUGCAUCGUGUUUUUUUAGAUCACGCUUGUGAAAAUCUAUUUGUUUGUAGUCUAUUGCAUUUUCACUACAAUGUUAACUGCCUCGAAUAAUGAACAUACUUAGUCAUUUCAUAACAGCUCCAGGUGUUUAACGGUAAAUACAUUUUUCGUUUUUUGCUUUAUUACUCCCAGAUUUCGUAUUUUAUCCUAUUGUUAACUUUGAUCACUCGUUUUAAUUGUUCCCAUUUAGCUAUAACAAUUUGUAGUUAUUCAUAUUAAGUCUUGGUUUCAUAAAUCCAUUGGAUGAGUAACAAAUAGUAGAAUUUGAUGUAUCAUUAGUUUAUGUAAUUUUGUAAAGGAAAAGGUUUAUAGAAUGACUUCACAUCACUUUUUAAGUUUUUAUUUAAAUAUAUAACUCAAACAAUAAAUUUGGACAUGUUUUAGUUCUUGAUGUGAUUUGAUUUCUCAAUUUAAUAAAUUUAAAGAUGUAGUAUUAAAGCUUUAAGGAUUUAGUUUCUUGGACGAGUAGGUUGUCCAAGCACAGUUUACCACGAAUUUUUGAACUAGUGAACUUUAUUUUCACUCCAGACCAUUUCAGACAUUUAUCCCAACGGUUAACAACAGAAGCGUGGAAACAAAAAACGCAACCAUGAAAGAUUCCUGGACACUUACGCAUUAGUCAUACUCAACAGAUGGAAUAGAUCAUAAUCUUCAUGCACUGUUAAGAAAACGAGACAAAUAAGAAAGCCAAAAGUAUAGUUAGUUUAAUCUCUCCCCGCCAAAGCUAAAACAAGGGGAACAGAGUUACACAAAAACUUUACAAGAAUUGAAUUGCAUAUUACUUUCUCUAAUGUCAUUUUCAGCAACAAAAAUGGUGGUUGAUCAGAUAAAGUUUAUACAAACAAACAUACUGCUAAGAUUCUGCAGACAGUUUGUACCAGACCAAACACACCACAGAGAACUUAAGGAGUCACAAAUUAUUUUCUACUGUUGUUUAAGUUCUGCUGUUGUUUUAGUUUGAUGCAUAGUAGCCAGUUCAAAUGAAAUGACUAAUCCUGCAUUGAAACAGGUUUAGGCAUGAUAAUCAAUGACCAUCAGGUUGAAACACAACUAAUUAGAUAUACGUAACAGUAUUGGAAGUUUUCAGGAACACUACUUCCUAUUAUGUUUCAUUAGUGAAUGCAUCAGCCCUAAACCAGUAAAGUUGUUCAACUUGGAAACUUUUUGCAUAAUUUAUAAGACCUCUAUAGAGUGGGGUGCAUUUAGUAAUUCUUGAAGUGCAAGAAGCAAAUUCUUACCUGUAUGACAUGAAAUAUAUAGCUUAGACCAGGUGAGGAUCAGGCCCAAAACCAUGUGUGUGACCAGUUGAAUUGGCGGGAGUGUAGUAUCAGUUUAUUCCGAUAUCAAUGUCAGAACUUUGUGGCUUCCGACUUUGAGACCUUACGGUGGUUUCUCUUCCUCCCCUCCCCAACAUGGAGACCGUUCCCUCUGUUCUCAAGGUAAUCAUAAUCAACGCCUUUACCUCUGCCAACCUCAUUUUACCGUUUCAUUAAUGAUGACAAUGAUUUGUUGUACAAUGCCGUUAAUCCUUUGUAAGAUAACGUCAAUACCCACUUUCCAGUUUUCAGUUUCGUUGGCGGGAUUGAAACAAGUUUUAUUUUUUUUUUUGGUGCUUUAUCUAAAUAAUAAAUAAUUGAAUGUGCAAUGGAAAUUGUGUUGGGUUGCCCUAUCAGUAUUGUGAAUAACGUGUCAGAGGUUUUGAGGGUUUUAUCAUUGUUGGACGCUGAUGUGUUUUCUACUGUUUUCAGAAAUACUUUGGGUUUUCUAAUUUUAAGCCUUAUCAGAGAGAAGUUAUUGAGAAAAUUAUUGAGAGAAGGGAUUGUUUGGUAGUCAUGGCUACUGGUAGUGGGAAGUCCUUGUGGUAAAGCAUCAUUAUUCCCUUUUUUUCUCACUCAUUCUGUGUUUUUUCCCUAAAUUGGAGAGUUCAGAGGUGAACGUUAUUUUAUUUCUUAACAGCUAUCAGGUACCUCCCUUGGUUGUUAAAAAGACUGGGAUAGUUGUGAGCCCUCUGAUAUCAUUGAUGCAAGACCAGGUGAAUUGAUUGGUUCUUCUGAAUGAGUCUACUUGUUUUACUUUUUUAUGCUCUCAAUGCCUAUCUGUACAUGUCAAUAGUGAUUCCCUAAUAAGAAGAGAUGGAAAAACAGGUGAUGGCUUUAAAACAACGAGGUAUUAGAGCUGAAUAUCUUGGAAGUGCUCAGAAGGAUUUCACUGUGCACUCUAAAGCUGAACGUGGUCAAUUUGACAUUCUGUUCAUGACUCCUGAGAAGGCAUGCACAGUUCCUACAAGGUAAUGGAUUAAAUACAUGUCUAACAUUCAGCUGGCAGAUUGUGGCCGUUAUUUUGAGUGCAUUUCAUUAAAAGUUAUAACUUUUAGAAAUGGAAGUGUCGUGGAGCUAUUCUAGAAGUUACAUGACUAGUUCACUUCUUAAGUUAAUUUUCUUUUUAAUUUCUGAAAUUAUGUCGCCAAUGUUAGUCCAUACCAUGUCUUGUCUAAUUAUGAUAUUCUGUUCACUUGAACUUACUUUUUGCAGUUUUUGGUCCAACUUACUAAAGGCUGGAAUUAGUCUUUUUGCUGUUGAUGAAGCCCAUUGCAUAUCGGAAUGGGGACAUGGAUUUAGGGAGAAAUACAAGCAUUUAGACAAGUUACGUGAGGUCUUGCUUGAUGUUCCUUUUGUUGGUCUAACUGCGACUGCUACUGAAAAGUAAGCAUCUUUUCUUUGGCUUUUGGUGAAGCAUAUCAUGGCUGUACUUUAUAAUAACUCUGAUACACAUGUUGUGCCUCUCUGAUCCGGUAUUCUGUUAUCCAAUUUAUAGAUUUCCAGAGAUAGAGGACUUUUGUUAGUAAACAUCACAUAUUGUUCUAUGUUCUGAUCUAGUUCUGGAAGAAGCCUAUUAGGUUUCUUAAAUUUUUAAAGCGCUGCUGUUUGUUGCAAAAGUAAAUUACCAGGUUCUGGAGUGAUUAAACCACCUCUACAGAAUCGAAUUUCGUUUCUGUUGACAUCAGUUGUAUAGGGGAUGGCUGCUGAAGGUCUUGUAAGAUAUGUUUUCUUUAAAUCUUUUCUGGUACAACAAAUCCUGUAGUGUUUUGCCUACUGUGUAUUUCUGGUGGUUUCUUUCUCUUUUUUCUUUUCCGUUUUACACAUCUUCUCAUCAAGAGGGAGGAAUUUUCUUACCUGUGUUGAACGCUAUCUUGACUCGUGAGCAUAGGAACGGAUUAAAAUUAAUUGAUAUUUCUACUUUGUAAAUUAAUUAAUGAAACUGUGACACUUUUUCUAUUUGCAUUAUCGUACUUCAUUGUUCUAUUAAUUGAUAGCAUACUGUAGUUUUGUUUAGAUUAAAGAAAAACAUACAAUCAUGUUAAUUUGUGUGCUUUAUUUCCAGGGUUCGAUUUGAGAUCAUCAGUUCCCUGAAGAUGGAUAACCCUUAUGUUACGAUUGGUUCAUUUGAUCGCACAAAUCUUUUCUAUGGUGUCAAACCAUUGAACCGUGGACAAUCUUUUAUUGAUGAGCUUGUGUGGGAAAUUUCAAAAGAAGUUGCUACGGGUGGUUCAACUAUAAUUUAUUGCACAACAAUCAAAGAUGUAGAGCAGGUAAUGUGCUAGAAAUGUUACAAAUAAAUCCCAAACUAGUUUUCUAUCUUGUUCUUUGUUGAAGGCUUAAGAUUAAUACUGAAACAUAUAUUAUAGAGGGCUUAAUGCACCUCCACAACUCAAGUUACAUUUAUAGAGAAGAAAGGAUGCUAGCUACACUUUCAACUAGCUAAGACUGAUUGGAACACACUCACUAACAACUAAUACACAUUCACAUACAGCACAUACACACUCAAACAGCUUAUACACACUUAAACACACAAUUCAUAAUUCUAAUACUCCCUCUCAGGCUGGAACAUUCAAAUUGUAUGUACCAAGCUUGGAACAAAUGAACUUAAUCUGAGGUCCUCUUAUGGACUUUGUUAACAUAUCUGCAAGUUCGUCAUUUGAUCCAACAAACUCAGUACAAAUUUCUUUGGACAAUAGCUUUUCUCAAACAAUUUCUAUUUGUUUAGUCCUUUCAUGGAACACUGGAUUUGAUGCAAUGUGGAGAGCAGUUUGAUUAUCGCAAUACAUUUUCAUAGUCUGAAUAUCACAAAAGUUAAGUUCUUGAAGGAACUGCUUUACACAUAUAAGUUCACAUGUUAGUGAUGCCAUUGCCCUCUAUUCAACUUCAAUUGUUGAUCGAGCCACUACAUUAUGUUUCUUACUUUUCUACUAAAUAAGUUUCUUCCAAGACAAACACAAUAUCCAGUAGUAGAUCGUCUGUCAAUAAGCGAACCUGCCCAAUCUGCAUCACAGUAUCCAAAGACUUGAAGACUUCCUUUAUCUUCAUAUAACAACUAUUGCCCGAAAGCCUUUUUGGUGUACCUUAGAAUGUAAAUGAUAGCAUUCCAAUGGCCAACACAUGGAGCUUGCAUGAAUUGACUAACCACUCCAACUACAAAAGAUAGAUCUAGCUUUGUAAUAGUGAGAUAAGUUAGUUUCCCAACCAGCCUCCUAUAUCUCUCCGGAUCGAAGAAUAACUCACCUUCUUCUUCCGUUAAUUUUUGAUUUGGGUCCAUAGGACUAUCUACUGGUCUACAACCAUUCAUGCUCGUUUCUUGUAAAAUAUCAAGGGCAUACUUCCUUUGGGAGAUUACAACUCCAUCUUUUGACUGAGCUACUUCGAUUUCUAAGAAGUAUUUUAGGCUUCCAAGAUCCUUGGUUUGAAAAUGUCUACUCAAGUACUUCAGUUGAGAUAUUCCAACAAUAUCAUUUCCUGUAAUGACUAUAUCAUCAACAUAUACUAUUAUGUAAACACAUUUCCUGAGAGUUGUAUGAUAGUAAAAGGCUGAAUGAUCUGCUUCACUACGUUCAAGCCCAAAUUUUUUAACAAUGGAGCUGAAUUUUCCAAACCAAACACGUGGUGAUUGCUUUAGGCUAUAUAGAGAUCGAUUCAAUUUGCAAACCAUACCAGACUCCUCCUGAGCAACAAACCCAGGAGGUUGCUCCAUAUAAACUUCUUCCUCAAGAUCUUUGUAUUGAAAUGGCGACUUAAGGGGUCAACAUGGAGAGAAGGAGGUCUGGUAAGACAACCAGUGGUGACGCAGUGUGAUUCUGACACCGGGAAAGUGGCGCUAAUGAACACGUGCAGGAUUGGAGAAAGGUGGCGCGUGACGACGCGUGGACUGGUGGUUCGCCGUGGUUCUAUUGGGGUUAGCUAAUGCUCGAAGAGGCGAUCUAGAUCUGCUGGUCGCCAGACUAAACUGCGGUGGCAAACAGUGGCAGAUGGUGGCGGACGGCAAAGGUCAGUCGAAAAUGGUUGUUGACAGUGUUUGAUAAUAAAAAAAAAUAGAAGAUGGCUGCAGAUUAUAGAUGAAUAGUAGAAAAAAAGUAAAUACACCAGUCAAUGGCAAUUAAUGCUUGAUACUAGUGGACAGACUUAAAGAGUUGGGAGAGAAACUGAAAUUAUUAUUGUUGUUCUCUUAACCCUAAUACACAUACUACCCUAUUUAAGGGAUAGUAGAUCAACAUAAAAAGGAAAAACAGAAGGCUCCUAAAAAGCCCACUAGAAAAUACAUUACAUUUCAACACUUCCCCUCAAGUUGGAGCAUAUAGAUCAUAUGCACCAAGCUUGGAACAUCUAAAUUGAAUCCUAGGCCCUCUUAGAGAUUUGGUCAGAAUGUCUCUGAGUUGUUCAUUAGAGUUGACAAACUCAGUAACAAGUUCCUUGGACAAUAACUUUUCUCUAAUAAAAUGACAAUCAAUUUCUAUGUGUUUUGUUCUCUCAUGAAACACUGAAUUGGAGACAAUAUGAAGGGUUGCAUGGCUGAUCCACACAAGUUCGCAUGUAGUUAAAGCCAUAGAUCGGUAUUCAACUUCAGCACUAGAUCGAGCAACAACACUUUGUUUCUUACUUUUCCAAGAUACAAGGUUCCCUCCAAGUAAAACACUACCCUGUAGUAGAUCUUCGAUCAAUUGGACAACCAGCCCAAUCUUCAUCACAAUAUCCUUCAAUUUGAGUGUUUUCCUUGUUCUCAUACAACAAUCCUUGUCCUGGGUGUCCUUUUACAUAUCUGAGAAUGCGAAUCACUGCAAUCCAAUGGUCAACAUGUGGAUUUUGCAUAAAUUGGCUCACAACUCCCACUAGAUAAGAAAGAUUAGGUCUUAUUAUUGUAAGAUAAAUGAGUUUUCCAACCAGCCUUCUAUAUCUCUCUGGGUCUGAGAAAGGUUCACCUUGAUCUCUCAUUAACUUUUGAUUUGAGUCCAUAAGACUAUCAAUGUGCUUGUAAUUUGUCAGGCCAAUUUCCUCUAAAAUAUCAAGAGCAUAUUUCCUUUGUAAAAUGAUGACACGCUCUUUUGAUUGUGCCACUUCAAUACCAAGAAAAUAUUUUAGACGACCCAGAUCUUUAGUAUGAAAGUGGUUGAACAAGUGAUUCUUUAAUUGAGUAAUACUAGUGACGUCAUUCCCCAUAAUAACAAUAUCAUCAAGAUACACCAUGAGAUAAACACAUUUUUCAGGAGAAGAAUGACCAUAAAACACUGAGUGAUCCGUCUCACAUUGUUUAAAUCCAAAAUUUUGCACAACCCAACUAAAUUUACCAAACCAAGCUCGAGGUGAUUGUUUCAAGCCAUAGAGGGAACAACGUAAUUUACAAACUAACCCAAACUCCCCCUUAGCAACAAACCCAGGAGGUUGCUCCAUGUAUAUCUCCUCUUCUAGAUCACCAUUAAGAAAGACAUUUUUAAUGUCCAACUGGUAAAGUGGCCACUGACGAAUGACAACCAUAGCAAGCAUAAUACGAACCGUAUUGGUUUUAGCCACGGGAGAGAAGUAUCCAUGGUCUGGGGAUCUAGUGGAGGAGGAUCUGAGUCUCGAGGAUCUUCAGUGUUCUGAGUUUAAGAUUGUCCCCGAUGAUGAUAUGUGAGAAGAGGUGGAGGAACAAUGUCAUUCGCAUUUUGAGUUUGAGAUACAAAAGCAGGAACAACCAAGGGAUCACAUGAUGGUAGAGGAAACAUUUGUUGAACAGAUGAAUGAUCCUCCAUGGAGGACAAGAAAAAAGGUGUAUCCUCAAAAAAUGUGAUAUCAGCAGACAUAUAAUAUCUCUUGGUGAAGGGAGAAUAACAUUUAUACCCUUUCUGAAGAUGAGAGUAUCCCAAGAAAACACACUUGAUAGCUUUUGCAGAGAGUUUAUCAAGACUUGGAGAAACAGUAUGGACAAAACAUGUACACCCAAAUACACGUGAGGAGACAUGGUAUAAAGUGUUGUUUGGAAAAAUGAUAGAGUGAGGAAUUUUAUUCUAUGGAGAGGAAGAAGGCAUCCUAUUGAUUAAAAAACAGGAAGUGAGGACUGCAUCACCCCAAUGAUGCACAAGACAUGAAUAUUAGUACUCAACAUCAGGGAAUGUAUAGUUUCAAUGAGAUGUCUAUUCUUUCUCUCUGCAAUACCAUUUUGUUGUGGAGUGUGAGGACAUGUUGACUAAUGUACAAUUCCUUGGGAAGAUAAGAAUGAAGAAAACGCGAUAGAAAAAUGUUCCUUAGUAUUAUCACUACGGAGGAUUUUAAUUGUCUUCCCAAAUUGGUUCGUAAUUUCAUUAAAAAAGGACAUAAAUAUGGACCAAAGUUCAAAUCUCUCUUUCAUUAAAUAAACCCAAGUACAUCUAGAGAAUUCAUCAAUGAAGGUUACAAAAUAAUUAAAACCAAAAAAAGUAAAACGGCCUAGUCCCCAAAUAUCAGAGUGAAUAGUUGAGAAAGGAAAAUUACAUUGUGUCUCAGACCUUUUAGGAUAAGAAGAUCUAACAUGUUUUCCUAACUGACAAGACUCAAUCUAAGACUUAAAUGUUCUUGAGACUCGGAACCAUCAUCUUCAACUUGGACAAACUUGGAUGGCCCAAACGAUCAUGCACAAGUUUUGGGGAUGAAAUAUAACAAAGGAAUUAGCAGUAAAGGUUGUAGAACAAAGGAAUUAACAGUAAAGGUUGUAGAACAAUUUAAGGAACGAUUCAAUUGACUCAAGGAGAUUAAAUUGUAAGGACAAUGACGAAUAUAAAAAACGGAAUUUAAAUUUAGUGAAGAAGAUAAGGACACUUUGCCAAUUCUCUGAGAUGCCACUUUGGAUCCAUUGGCAACGGUAAUGAAACGAGAGAUUUUCGGAGAGGACAUGGAAGAAAAUGAAGGAAUGUUACCAUAGAUAUGGUUUGAGGCACCUGAGUCAAGGAUCCAUGGACUGUGACCUUCCACAGAUUGAGAUAUGUAGGUAGUUGACACAUUGGACAUGGAGGAGGAUUGGCCAAGAUAAGAAGAUUUUUCAAACUUGUACCUCAAAAUUUCUUGGUACUCUUCAUUUGAAAUUAUGGAUUCUAGAUCAUUAGAUUUAGAAACAUGAGAAACUUUGUCUCGAUAUCAAUGUAAGGCAUAACAUUUUUCUCAAGUAUGGCCUAUUUUCUUACAAUAUGUACAUUGAGGACACAUACUACGACCACCACGUCCUCCUCGGUUGCUUCUUCCUCCUUUUCUUCCUUGUGGUACUACCAUAGUUGAUGUUUCAAUACCAUCAAUUGAAUUUCAAUACCAUCAGUUGAAUUUUUGUCUUUAACUAAUGAAGGUACAUGAAGAAGUCAAGUAACUAGGCUGUCCAUUGAUGGGAUUUGAUCACCAGCUAACAUUUGAUCACGAAUAUGAUCAAAAUUGGAGUGUAGACUUCUUAGAUCAAGACCAUGUAAAACUUAUUAAGCUUCUUGUUUAUGCCUUCUAAAAUAAUCAGUCAUAAAGAAAUUCUUCAAUUCCUCUACGGCAACACAAGUCUUUCCUAUGUGAGCAACCAUAUCACGAUUUGCUUGUUUGAGAGAAGUCACUCUUUGAGUUGCAUCAAAGAGACGUUGUACGUUAUUAGCAAAGAUAUCAUGUGCUCUUUUUCAAAAGGAGGAGCACGUUUUGUAUGGUCUCAAAAUUUCUAAGACCUCUUAUUCGACAGAUUGCCAUAGUACAAUGCAUAAUUAAAAAUCAAGCUUCUGUCAUUGAGAUUUCUCUUCAUUAGGUACACUAGAAAUAUCUUGUUCAAGAUGAUUAUGGUAUCCUUGACCAAGAAACCAUAAGUCCAUUGAAGAAGACCGAGAUCAAUAGUUUUCCCAACUGAGUUUUGCAUAAGUAAUGGUAGGGGUAGUAGAUAGAGAAGGUGUUCCAAAACCAGAAGCCAUUCUAAUGUCAAACAGAAGAGGUAAAAACUGAUUUAAGUGUAGAAACUCUAGAUCGAAACUACUGUCAACAAAACAGCAAAACAGCGACCAUAACACACUCAGGAGACUGAGGCAAAACGACCGGCAUGGUGAUGUUCCGACUGGGGAAAAGCCACACGUGAAGCCCACACACUCGAGGCUAGCCGGAAAGAAGCGGCAUGGCGCGUUAGGAGGAGAAUAAAGCGACGACCACUAGGGAUGGGUCGUGCUUGUCGAGGUGCGCUUAACCCUUGACUUGGCCAGAGAAAAAGCUGCGAUGGUGGUAGCAGACGGCAGCAGACUGUGGCAAUGACGGAAAGCAGCGGCAGCGGAUAGCGGCAGCGGACAGCGGCAGUGGUACUUGGCUGGCUCUAGAUACCAACUUAAAGAGUUGGGACAGAAACUGAAUUUUUUAUUAUUGCUGUUCUCUUAACCCUAAUACACAUACUACCCUAUUUAAGGGAUAGUAGAUCAACAUAAAAAGGAAAAACAAAAGGCUCCUAAAAAGCCUACUCUAGAAAGCCCACUAGAAAAUACAUUACAUUUCAGACAGUAAUGGCUGAUCAAGAAGGUAAAAAAAAGACAGAGGGGGAUCGACCCCCUCUAAUACCAUCUUAAGAUUAAUACUGAAACAUAUAUUUCUAGAGGGCUUAAUGCUUCUCCGCAGCUCAAGUUACAUUUAUAGAGAAGAAAGGAUGCUAGUUACACUUUCAACCAGCUAAGACUGGUUGGAACACACACACUAACAACUCACACACACUCACACAGCUCAUACACACAAUUCAUAAUUCUAACAGAAGGAUAAUGGAAGAUUUUACACGACACAGAACACUUGGUAAACUAUGCUGAAGGGACAGAUUGCUUGAUGACUCGUUAAGAUUUUUUAGUUAUUACAAACAAUGAUUAAGGUGGUGCUGUAUUACAUUAUAUGGGAUAUUCAUUCAUGAUUCAAGACAAACAUGAGAACUUUCAACAAAUUGUGUAAUAGGAAAGAAUUGCAGAACACAUGCCAAGUGUGCCUUCUUAGAUAUGGAAUAUAUAUAUAUAUAUAUAUAUAUAUAUAUAUAUAUAUAUAUAUUUGCAUAGAAUAUCCAACGAGUAUAAUUUGUUCAUGACCUUUCACUAUAUCUGGUUACUUCAUGAUGGUUUAUCAAAAACUGAUAGUCUAUCUUUCUGUUUUACCUAUUGAACUCUUAUUUGCACUUUUGUUGCCUAAAUUCUGUUCGUCUGCAGCCUUUUUAAAGUUUGUAUCCUGAUAUUUAUUGUUUUAAAUAGGUAUUCAAAUCAUUUACAAAAGCAGGCAUUGAGGCAGGAAUGUACCAUGGCCAAAUGAAUGGAAAAGCUCGAGAGGAGUCUCAUAGGUGAAUGUUCUUUCUUAUUUUAGAACAUGAAAUAAAAUUUCAUCUCUGGUCACUGUGAAGGUGGAGCAUACUCCUUACCUCCCUCCCUCCUGUUCACUAAUUUUUGAAGAUGCUUCAAUGUUUUCAACCUAACUAAACUGUGUUCUAAUUUAUUCACAGAUUGUUUGUUAGAGAUGAACUGCAAGUCAUGGUGGCCACCAUUGCCUUUGGCAUGGGUAUAAAUAAACCUAACAUUAGACAAGUGAUUCACUAUGGUUGCCCUAAAAGUCUAGAAUCCUACUACCAGGAAAGUGGACGAUGUGGUAGAGAUGGUAUAGCUUCUGUUUGUUGGCUUUACUACACAAGAAGUGACUUUGCAAAGGGCAACUUUUACUGUAGAGAUGU
This 17248-nucleotide long non-coding RNA is filed under the name Vigna radiata. RNAcentral describes it as "long non-coding RNA (VRAD_LNC010577)". Lineage: Eukaryota; Viridiplantae; Streptophyta; Magnoliopsida; Fabales; Fabaceae. The record is from RNAcentral.